CCUACGGGCGGCUGCAGUGGGGAAUCUUGCACAAUGGGCGAAAGCCUGACGGAGCAACGCCGCGUGCAGGAGGACGCUUUUCGGAGUGUAAACUGCUUUUCUGUGGGAAGAGCAAGGACGGUACCACAGGAAGAAGCCCCGGCUAACUACGUGCCAGCAGCCGCGGUAAUACGUAGGGGGCGAGCGUUGUCCGGAGUUACUGGGCGUAAAGGGCAUGGAGGCGGUCGGACGCGUUUUGUGUGACAGCGGAUGGCUUCACUAUCCGAGUAUGCGAAAGACGGUUUGACUUGGGGGCUCGAGAGGGACACGGAAUUCCGGGUGGAGUGGUGAAAUGCGUAGAGAUCCGGAGGAACACCGAAGGCGAAGGCAGUGUCCUGGCGAGCGACUGACGCUGAGGUGCGAAAGCGUGGGGAGCGAACAGGAUUAGAUACCCCAGUAGUC
This 441-nucleotide ribosomal RNA is filed under the name uncultured bacterium. RNAcentral describes it as "bacterial SSU rRNA". It matches the Rfam family "Bacterial small subunit ribosomal RNA", at positions 338 to 795 of the family's 1533-position model. The record is from RNAcentral.